Molecule: ribosomal RNA, 495 nt
Filed under: uncultured bacterium
Lineage: Bacteria
Description: bacterial SSU rRNA
Rfam family: Bacterial small subunit ribosomal RNA
Source: RNAcentral
AAAGGAAUAGACGGGGGCCCGCACAAGCGGAGGAACAUGUGGUUUAAUUCGAUGAUACGCGAGGAACCUUACCCGGGCUUGAAAUGCAGAAGACCGAAGUAGAGAUACUUCUUCCAGCAAUGGCUUCUGUGUAGGUGCUGCAUGGUUGUCGUCAGCUCGUGCCGUGAGGUGUCGGCUUAAGUGCCAUAACGAGCGCAACCCUUGCCAAUAGUUGCUAACAGAUCAUGCUGAGGACUUUAUUGGGACUGCCAUCGUAAGAUGCGAGGAAGGUGGGGAUGACGUCAAAUCAGCACGGCCCUUACGUCCGGGGCGACACACGUGUUACAAUGGAGAGUACAGAGGGCAGCUACCUGGUGACAGGAUGCAAAUCUCUUAAAGCUCUUCUCAGUUCGGAUCGAAGUCUGCAACUCGACUUCGUGAAGCUGGAUUCGCUAGUAAUCGCGCAUCAGCCAUGGCGCGGUGAAUACGUUCCCGGGCCUUGUACACACCGCCCGU